Podarcis lilfordi (Lilford's wall lizard) is the source of this 69-nucleotide non-coding RNA. NCBI's taxonomy places the organism in Eukaryota, Metazoa, Chordata, Lepidosauria, Squamata, Lacertidae. The record is from the annotation of a GenBank genome assembly.
GUCUGUAGCUCAGUGGUAGAGCAUCACCUUUACAUACAGAAGACCCAGGUUCAACCCCUGACAUCUACA